Molecule: ribosomal RNA, 458 nt
Filed under: uncultured bacterium
Lineage: Bacteria
Description: partial 16S ribosomal RNA
Rfam family: Bacterial small subunit ribosomal RNA
Source: RNAcentral
CCUACGGGUGACAGCAGUGAGGAAUAUUGGUCAAUGGGCGAGAGCCUGAACCAGCCAAGUCGCGUGAGGGAGUACUGCCCUAUGGGUUGUAAACCUCUUUUGUCGGGGAGCAAAAGCCGCACGUGUCCGGCUGUGAGAGUACCCGAAGAAAAAGCACCGGCUAACUCCGUGCCAGCAGCCGCGGUAAUACGGAGGAUGCGAGCGUUAUCCGGAUUUAUUGGGUUUAAAGGGUGCGCAGGCGGAUUGUUAAGUCAGCGGUAAAAUCGUGGGGCUCAACCCCAUCCAGCCGUUGAAACUGGGGAUCUAGAGUGUGCGAGAGGUAUGCGGAAUGCGUGGUGUAGCGGUGAAAUGCAUAGAUAUCACGCAGAACCCCGAUUGCGAAGGCAGUAUACCGGUGCACAACUGACGCUCAGGCACGAAAGCGUGGGUAUCGAACAGGAUUAGAUACCCUUGUAGUC